This 608-nucleotide ribosomal RNA is filed under the name Hepatozoon canis. Its description in RNAcentral is "SSU rRNA". It matches the Rfam family "Eukaryotic small subunit ribosomal RNA", at positions 174 to 770 of the family's 1831-position model. The record is from RNAcentral. Lineage: Eukaryota; Apicomplexa; Hepatozoidae.
CAAAAUCUCAACUUUAUUAGAAGAGACGCAUUUAUUAGAUAAAAAGCCAAUGCAUGCUUUUACAGUAUGAAAAUUGGUGAUUUAUAAUAACUUAGCAAAUCGCAUAGUGAAAACAGGCGAUAAAUCAUUCAAGUUUCUGACCUAUCAGCUUUCGACGGUAUGGUAUUGGCUUACCGUGGCAGUGACGGUUAACGGGGGAUUAGGGUUCGAUUCCGGAGAGGGAGCCUGAGAAACGGCUACCACAUCUAAGGAAGGCAGCAGGCGCGCAAAUUACCCAAUUCUAACAGUUUGAGAGAGGUAGUAACAAGAAAUAACAAUACAAGGCAGUUAAAAUGCUUUGUAAUUGGAAUGAUAGAAAUUUAAACCCUUUUUAAAGUAUCAAUUGGAGGGCAAGUCUGGUGCCAGCAGCCGCGGUAAUUCCAGCUCCAAUAGCGUAUAUUAAAAUUGUUGCAGUUAAAAAGCUCGUAGUUGAAGUUCUGCUAAAAGUAACCGGUCUGCUUUGAAUAAAAGUGGUAUCUUGGUAUGUAUUUAGCAAUGAUGUCCUUUGAAGUGUUUUUUACUUUAUUGUAAUAAAGCAUAUUCAGGACUUUUACUUUGAGAAAAUUAGA